RNAcentral lists this small RNA (3048 nucleotides) under Drosophila pseudoobscura pseudoobscura. RNAcentral's name for it is "GA30591". The record is from RNAcentral. Lineage: Eukaryota; Metazoa; Arthropoda; Insecta; Diptera; Drosophilidae.
AAUGCGCACAUCAUGGACGAGAGUGGGCGCGCAAGGCACAGGCACAGGCAUAGGCACAGGCACGGGCACAGGCACAGGCGAGCGACCCUCGCCACGACCCAGUCGGCGGGCGGGCGCACGGAACAGGUUGCCUUGCGGCAGGGUGGGAUGGAUGUGGUGUCGUCGUCAUCGUCUUCAUCGCCUUCAUCGUCUUCGAUUGUGGACUGACAACAGAGGAAGUGAUAGAUAUCGUAGCAUGUGAAUCCCAAAGUGCGUGCCCCUGAUUGGGCCAAGGCCCAAGGCCCAAGGCCCUCAGGUCUCUGCCAUUAGCUACUCGACAUGUUUACUUACCAGAGACAGACUGCUUCAAGCAUUCACCUUUGGCCAAGCCGCUGCCAAAGUGCCAAACGUCUCUGUAUAACGGCGGCGCUGUAUAACGCUUCGACCUCCCUCGUGUAUGUGGAAGCAUUACAAGUGACCCGUCAGCGUGGACUUUGCUACCCGGCACCUCGGCCCGGCCCCCGCCCCCUUCACUUCUGGCCCGAAGAAGACAGUUCAUUUUCAGGAUGCUUUAAGGACACGGACUGCUUGCAUUUCGUACAGGGCAUCAAAGAGGACGUCGUCGACAGCCCGCAAGGGAUACAGUUGUUAACGUAUACAAGGGGGAGGCGUCGACUAUGGCGAGGACGAAAACACAAACAUGGCAACCGAGCACCGAGCACCGAGCACCGGGAAGGGUCCGCCUCUGCCUGCUCUCGGCUGCAGUUGAAGGAAUGGAAUGGAAACGAAACGAAAGGAAAGGAGCACUUUAUGUGCAUAUAAUAUCUGAAUGUUCGCCGCACCAUCCUCAACCACACACACACACGUACGAUCCACCCAGCCAGACAGACACAUGUAUACGUAGGACACAGUGUCAUCCAAGUUGCGGGGAAUUGUUAAUAUUGUCUGUGCGCCUGUAAGCAGCAUUUACAUGCUGGCCGACACCACGUACCACGUCCUGGCUGAUAGAAGAGCUCAUGUGUGGCUGGUGCCCUCUCUGACGGAACGGAAGGGCUCUGCUAGCCGCUCGGCUUUAAAUGCUGUACGAGUAUCAACUUAUGAAGCUGGCCGCCGCUUUCAUUAGAUCCAGAGGAUGAACCUAGUUCAGAACUUGUCUGGAUUGAAAACUGACACGCCAUCAAUAAAAUAAUGUUCUCGGAUCGAUAUGAGCAUCUGGAACAGAAGACGGAUGGAUGGAUGGACGGAUGGAUCGAAAAUUAACUAUAUGGGAAAAAUAAUAUUUUAAGAAACAUUAUUGAAUAUUUAUAAUAACUCUAGUAUCAAUGGUGUAUACGAGUAUGCAUUAGACAUGAAAAGAGUAAACACCAUAUUUUCUUGUAGGUUUAUGCUUCAUGAGUCAACAGUAUUCAUAAAAACACAGCUACACUCAUACAUCUUUAAAGCUUUCGAUCAUUACGAAUCCUUUCUUCAGUCAGAUCCGGAUCACCCCGAACCGAGUGCGAGCACUACGGAUACUCAUGCAACAUACUCAAUGUAAAGUGAACUUUUCGGAUCUGCCACAGUAAAAAUGACGAUACCUGCUUCGGGCAGUCCGUUUUGGUCGUGCGAUUCGAUAUAAUGAGAAAUUUGAGUCGCUGAUUUGAACUGACCGAACGUAGCGAGUACCGAGUCAAUCCCACCGACUCGACUCGGUUGCGUUUUCAUGCGGGGCUCUCUGUACAUGUGAAGGCUCUGCACUAUUGAGCAGGAGACCUCAACAUUUUGAGGAACAGGGUUCUUUGGUUCUACCAUAUCAACUGGCCGGUCCAAAGAUCCAAAGAUAUAUGUAUGUAUGCCAGGUCAAAGUGCAACAAGGCCUUACAAUAAUAAUAAUAAUAAUAAUAAUAAUACAAAUGUACAUAUGUAGUGUAGUAUGUAGUGUACUCUUAAGUGGAAUCUCGAAGAUUCUGGUGCAUUUUAAAGAUUGUAACUUAUUAAAGUUUUUAAUAUUUCUGUUGUUGUGGGGGGCUGGGCUAUUAUUUGCGCUGAGAAUUCUCAGACAGACCAGCUAACAGCCUAUCCAUGCACCAUUCGCUGUUGACCAAAAAACGUUUUUGUCAGAGAUGUAUAGGUAUCACCAGAUAUCUGUUUUUCAAUCUCCCGAUACUGUCAUUUUCAUUCCACGAGCUUCCUUGAGUAUCGCAAUUUCUUCUACCUUUAAUUAUACGUCAAUAACAAAAAAAAAGAAAACGGAACACUUAUAGUAAUGCAUGUCACAGUAUCAAGGUAUCUUACUAUCUACCGUCCACUGUAAUCAAAACUAGAAUCAGCAGAAGACCUAACUCGUUCGAUUAAGUUCAUCUUGUUGAGAAGUUUAACUGAUAAGUAAUUAUGCAGUAGUACUUGUGAUUAUCAAAUCAAUGAAGAGAUUCAAAUGGAGAAGUAAUAUUUGGACGUUGAUAUGCAAUAACUGCACCACCAAGUGGGCCAUGAGACACCAAGCCAAGGCCUGUUACGUGCGGAUCACAGGCAGAGACGCAGCCCUGCGCCUGCCCAGCCGACCGGGGGCCCUGCCGCAGGAUCGCUUACAUGCAGGAAAGAUAGAUGUUAGGCUAAUAUUCGAGUAAUAUUAGAACUAAACUGACUAAAGGAGAUAAGCAUGCAUUUAAAAUGGAAAACUAAUACUGGUAUGCUAGUAUCAGUAAUUUAAGAAGAAGAAGGGAAUUAAUAGUAUAUUUAAUAUACCAAGCGAAAGGGACAACGUUGUAUACAUAGUUUCUAGUGGAUAUUAUAGUAAUCGUGAAGUUUAUGCGGACCAAUAAGACGAUUAAUUAAGAAUGCAGGAUUAUUGAGAGCAAUCCAUUCUGAUAAGAUGGCAAUCCGUCACUUGCAUCCCAGUUAAGGCCGCGCAGGUCAAAUAGUUUUUUUUUUUUUGGUUUUGACCGCUCUUACAUGUAUUGGAUGAGUUUUAUAGUUACUAAGAAUUAUUCUAAACUAAUGCGUAAUUCGCCACAAUCAAUGACAUAACAAAUUUCCUAUAAUAACAAUGCGAGUAUGAUGUCGGUCACAUUUGGCCAAGAUAUAGUCUAA